CGGGGCUUAGCUCAGAUGGGAGAGCGCCUGCUUUGCACGCAGGAGGUCAGCGGUUCGAUCCCGCUAGUCUCCACCA
RNAcentral lists this transfer RNA (76 nucleotides) under Staphylococcus cohnii. RNAcentral's name for it is "tRNA-Ala". It matches the Rfam family "tRNA". From Rfam's summary of the family: Transfer RNA (tRNA) molecules are approximately 80 nucleotides in length. The record is from RNAcentral. Lineage: Bacteria; Bacillati; Bacillota; Bacilli; Caryophanales; Staphylococcaceae.